This 740-nucleotide ribosomal RNA is filed under the name uncultured bacterium. RNAcentral describes it as "bacterial SSU rRNA". It matches the Rfam family "Bacterial small subunit ribosomal RNA", at positions 28 to 751 of the family's 1533-position model. The record is from RNAcentral.
GAUGAACGCUAGCGGCAGGCCUAAUACAUGCAAGUCGGACGGGAUUUAACUUAAAGCUUGCUUUAAGUUAAUGAGAGUGGCGCACGGGUGCGUAACGCGUGAGCAACCUACCUCUAUCAGGGGGAUAGCCUCUCGAAAGAGAGAUUAACACCGCAUAACAUCAACAGUUCGCAUGUUCGGUUGAUUAAAUAUUUAUAGGAUAGAGAUGGGCUCGCGUGACAUUAGCUAGUUGGUAGGGUAACGGCCUACCAAGGCGACGAUGUCUAGGGGCUCUGAGAGGAGAAUCCCCCACACUGGUANUGGAGACACGGACCAGACUCCCUACGGGAGGCAGCAGUAAGGAAUAUUGGUCAAUGGGCGGAAGCCUGAACCAGCCAUGCCGCGUGCAGGAUGACUGCCCUAUGGGUUGUAAAACUGCUUUUGGUCCAGGAAUAAACCUCUUUACGUGUAGAGAGCUGUAUGUACUGGAAGAAUAAGGAUCGGCUAACUCCGUGCCAGCAGCCGCGGUAAUACGGAGGAUCCGAGCGUUAUCCGGAUUUAUUGGGUUUAAAGGGUGCGUAGGCGCCUGUUAAGUCAGGGGUGAAAUACGGUGGCUCAACCAUCGCAGUGCCUUUGAUACUGACGGGGCUUGAAUCCAUUUGAAGUGGGCGGAUAAGACAAGUAGCGGUGAAAAUGCAUAGAUAUGUCUUAGAACUCCGAUUGCGAAGGCAGCUCACUAAAGCUGGUAUUUGACGCUGAUG